Molecule: long non-coding RNA, 1984 nt
Organism: Quercus lobata
Lineage: Eukaryota; Viridiplantae; Streptophyta; Magnoliopsida; Fagales; Fagaceae
Exons: 4
Source: RefSeq, a predicted model, not a curated record
CCUAAAAACUAACCCUAAAGACUGAAGUCCUAACUCCUAAACACUCUCACACUCUCAUCUCACGCCUCAUCUCAAGCUCUCUGCCUCUCAACUCAAGCUCACUCUGUCUGCCUCUGUUACCUUGUUCGGCAGCCUUCAAUCCUCAGGUUUCCGGUGAAUAACACUAGAGUCCUCUCUCUUUCUUCGGUUUGUCCCAUUGGAGAAGUCAACAACAGUUCGUCAGUUCCAUAAAGAUUGGAUCUUUGGAGUCACUUUGCUCAGGGUCACCAGCAUUGCCCUCCAGAGCACAACAACUGGCUUCAGAUUCAAUUUGGUUUUCGGGUGACAUCCUAGAGGUUUUUUUUUUUUUUUCCUUCUCGGUCUCGCCCUCGCCCUCUGAUCUCUGAUCUCUGCUCUCUGCUUCAUCAGAUUCUCCGUUCAUGUUCUUGUCUUCAUCUCAGGUUCUCCAUUCCGUGACUUCACUGGGAGUUCUACGCAAACUUCCAUAACCAAUAAGAGCUCUCUGUCGAGACCAUUGUUAAAGGUGUCUCGAUUCCUCUUGCUCCUGCAUUUCUUGGUAAGAUCAUUUGUCUUCCACUUCUCAACGAUGUCCCUAGUAGAAAGUUGUAUUAGACUAGAGAUGAAAAGGAAUAGGAAAAGACUAAAAAGGACACCUGAGAUGGUGAAGUCCAUCUGUCCAUGACAUGCGUGAAGUAGUACUUCUUGUUUUUUGCUGAAUGCGUGAAGUAGUACUUUACUAGAACUAAUGGCUUUUUAUAGCAUCAUUCUGUAAGUCUUUCAUUUAUGUUGUAGUAUUUUAGUAAAAAUAUUACAACUUAUUUAGCAUUUAGUAUGCUUAAUUUUCUUAUAUAUAUCUUGUUGCGGGCCAAACAAUAUUUCUUUUAGAUUUGUUCAUGGUUCAUUGAAUCUAGUGGCUUACCACUUGUCACAAAUUGGAUGUUUCUAUCAAUUUCUUGACAAGAGAGGUGAUUAGAAUAUAAAAGUUUGGGUGUUCAGAAAAGGUUUGAAGAGUGUAGCUAUUUGCAAAAUCAAAGUUCUGAAGGACCUCACAAGUUAUGUGGAAGUCUUUUAGAAUUUUGAUCUUGCAGGGAGCUAUACUCUUCAAAUCUUUCCUAAACACCCAGACUUUUACAUUUUGAUAACCUCUCUUGUCAAGAAAUUGGUAGAAACAUCCAAUUUGUGACAAGUGAUGAGCCACCAGAUUCAAUGAACCAUGGACAGAUUGAGAAGAAAUCUUGUUUGGUCUUACAACUGUUGUUUUAACAUCACUCAAAAAGCUCCAACUUAGAUUUGCAGAUACAUCUUUUUCUCUUUUUCCAGACUAAAGUAAAUUUGGGAGCCCCUCCAGGUCAGUCUCUACAUGCAAAUCGGUCAUGAAUUUUUUCUUAGUUAAAUAAGUUGUCCAAAAUCUAGUUCUAGCUUUGGCAUUGAUGAGCACCUUCUAACAGCUUUCAGAGCUUAUGCCCACUUACCAUUGUUUAACUCAACUGUUUUGUAAUCACCAGCUGCAUGAUGCGUCUAAAAAUGAACCAAAGAUUUGCUUUGUAGCAACUGAAAGCAGUUGAGAAUCACAAAAAUUUGUAUCUAAUGAACAUUUAAGACUAUGUAAAUGUAAAAUGGCAGGAAUACCGAUGGGUCACCAACUUUCUGUCAAGGUCAGGAUCCAGUUUAUCGUGACUUGCUAGUGGCUUUAGAACUCGCCACGUGGUCUUGAUGAUAAAUCCAUUAGUUCUUCAGCAAAUUUGCAUCAUAAUUUUCAUAACUUUUUUCCGUACGUUAUUGAUUUGGUUGUGCAGGACCAUGAAGGAAAUGACAAAGAAGCCGCUAUAUUCUUUAAAUAAAAGAACCAACGAGGUUGGUAGAUAUAAAUGAAUGUCAUCUCAUCCAGAUAUUUACCCAAAAAAAAAAAGUCAUCUCAUCCAACCAAUGGGGUUCAUGUGCUAUCCUACACCACCAAUGAAUGAGUACCAUCUCACCUUAUUUA